This 1152-nucleotide ribosomal RNA is filed under the name uncultured soil eukaryote. RNAcentral's name for it is "partial small subunit ribosomal RNA". It matches the Rfam family "Eukaryotic small subunit ribosomal RNA", at positions 300 to 1189 of the family's 1831-position model. The record is from RNAcentral.
CGAAUUUCUGCCCUAUCAACUUUCGAUGGUAAGAUAGAGGCUUACCAUGGUGAUCACGGGUGACGGAGAAUUAGGGUUCGAUUCCGGAGAGGGAGCCCGAGAAACGGCUACCACUUCUAAGGAAGGCAGCAGGCGCGCAAAUUACCCAAUCCCGACUCGGGGAGGUAGCGACAAUAAAUACCGAUACGGGUCCCCGACGGGGACCCGUAAUCGGAACGAGAAAGAUUCAAACCCACUAUCGAGGAACGAUUGGAGGGCAAGUCUGGUGCCAGCAGCCGCGGUAAUUCCAGCUCCAAUAGCGUAUAUUAAAGUUGUUGCAGUUAAAAAGCUCGUAGUCGAACUUCGGAACGGACGGAACCAGCCUUCUCUUCGCCUUCCCUCGCGGGAGGACGGGGAGGGGGCCCGUCGAGCGGCGCCGGUCCGCCCCUUCGGGGGCGAGCACCGGUCCGCGCGUUCCCUCCGGUCGGCGGCUCGCCCCCGCUCUUGACUGAGCCGGGGGUAUUCCCUCCCCCCCGAGGGGUUCGGGGGGCGUCCUCGGUCCGGGUCCGUCCCGGCGAGCGGCGUCCCUUCCCUCGGGGGAGGGUUUCGCGCGGGGCCGGAAGGGAGGGCGUCCCCCUCUCGGGGGAAAAGGGGUGGGGAAGGGAAAAAAAGAGGGGGGGGCUUCGGCCUUCCUUCUUUUUUUUUUCCCUCCCUUCUUCCCUCUCCCCCCUCGUUCUCGGUUCUCGCGGAGCUCCGACCCGUUUACCUCGAAUAAAUCAGAGUGUUCAAAGCGGGCAAGUCCAGGCCCGAAUACGUCAGCAUGGGAUAAUGGAACAGGACUCGGGUCCUAUUUUUCCGUCGGUUCGCGUUGGUAUUUAAUUGUCAGAGGUGAAAUUCUCGGAUUCAGGAAAGACCGACUUCAGCGAAAGCAUUCGCCAAGGACGUUUUCAUUGAUCAAGAACGAAAGUUAGGGGAUCGAAGACGAUCAGAUACCGUCGUAGUCUUAACCAUAAACGAUGCCGACCGGGGAUCGGGAGACGCCGCGACGAUUUGAGGGCUCUCCCGGCCCCUCGCGGGAAACCUAGAGUCUUUGGGUUCCGGGGGGAGUAUGGUCGCAAGGCUGAAACUUAAAGGAAUUGACGGAAGGGCACCACCAGGAGUGGAGCCUGCGGC